This 253-nucleotide ribosomal RNA is filed under the name uncultured bacterium. RNAcentral's name for it is "partial 16S ribosomal RNA". It matches the Rfam family "Bacterial small subunit ribosomal RNA", at positions 524 to 776 of the family's 1533-position model. The record is from RNAcentral.
UACAGAGGUCUCGAGCGUUGUUCGGAUUCAUUGGGCGUAAAGGGCGCGUAGGCGGCGGGGUAAGUCUGGUGUGAAAUCUCGGAGCUCAACUCCGAAAUUGCACUGGAUACUGCUCUGCUAGAGGGCUGGAGAGGAGAUCGGAAUUCACGGUGUAGCAGUGAAAUGCGUAGAUAUCGUGAGGAAGACCAGUGGCGAAGGCGGAUCUCUGGACAGCUCCUGACGCUGGGGCGCGAAGGCUAGGGGAGCAAACGGG